UGGAGGCUGGGAGUGCAUGAGCU
RNAcentral lists this microRNA (23 nucleotides) under Bos taurus (domestic cattle). RNAcentral's name for it is "bta-miR-12010". The record is from miRBase by way of RNAcentral. Lineage: Eukaryota; Metazoa; Chordata; Mammalia; Artiodactyla; Bovidae.